UGGAGGGAGCUUCAUUAGAAUGAUACUGCAUAUAUUCUUAAUAUUUGAUUUUUUUCUUCUCAGGAGUAUAUUGUACAUAACUGCAUGGGGAGCAGAGAUGGACGAUUACAAGAACAAAAGAAAAGGUAAACAUAAUAACCAGAAUUUGGACAACGAACCAGAAUAUUGCCUGCAUCCCAAGAGCUCACCUGUGUCACCUUCUAGUACCUAUCAACCUCCAUGUCCAAAGAGUAAGUAUUGUUAUACUUCUAACAGACUUAAAUACAUGCAUUCUUUUUUUUUUUUUUUGUUUUGUUUUUGGUACUAGGGGUCGAACUCAGGUCUUUGUGCUUGCGAGACAGGCAGCAAACCUCUGAGCUAAAUCCCCGGCCCAAUACAUGCAUUCUUUUUGUGUCCAAGUUGUGUUUUUUGUUUGUUUGUUUUGGUUUGGUUUGGUUUUUUUUUUUUUCCAUUUGCUGUAAGUAAAUUUUAGCCACUUUGUCUAUAAUUGAGAGUUUGUUACACUCUUUCUUGUUUGAUACUCCAGUGCCUAAAUAUAUUACGGUGCAUUUAUUGAUUCUACAACUG
RNAcentral lists this long non-coding RNA (567 nucleotides) under Fukomys damarensis (Damara mole-rat). RNAcentral describes it as "lncRNA (ENSFDAG00000022449.1)". Lineage: Eukaryota; Metazoa; Chordata; Mammalia; Rodentia; Bathyergidae. The record is from RNAcentral.